Molecule: non-coding RNA, 105 nt
Organism: Araneus ventricosus
Lineage: Eukaryota; Metazoa; Arthropoda; Arachnida; Araneae; Araneidae
Source: the annotation of a GenBank genome assembly
UAGCACUCGGUGUUCCCAGGUGGUCACCCUCCCAAGUGCUGGGCUCACCCGAUGCUGUUUAGCUGCGGUGAUCAGACGAGAACCGUUGCUUUAAGAAUGGUAUGG